This 1439-nucleotide long non-coding RNA is filed under the name Panicum hallii. RNAcentral's name for it is "long non-coding RNA (PHAL_LNC000591)". The record is from RNAcentral. Lineage: Eukaryota; Viridiplantae; Streptophyta; Magnoliopsida; Poales; Poaceae.
AUUCCAAUGCAACCCGAAAACAUUAUGGCAUAAUUUAGUGGAGGACAACCAAAUUAUUGGAGUUUAGAGAGUAACAAAAAAAUUCAUGUCAAGAGACGAGCAGUCGAGCACACAAGAUGGAUGUAGAUAGAUAUAGAUGGAUGGUUACAACACCAGGGACAUCAAGCAGGCCACACACAUUCACCACAGAUCAGAGCAUGGCCUGCCUGCCACAGAUCAGAGUACCAAACGACACACUGCUAGAGCACCCCACAGGUGCCCGGCCGGGGAGGGAAGGACACGACGGCGACAUCUCAGUACCAUCAUUAUUGUUCUCCUUCAGUACCAGCUACUAGCAGCACGCGCAACACUGUUAUUAAGCGUGCAUGCCACACAUACUUUCAGACAAACGAACGACGAAUACACAAACACUGCUAUACUAGCUUCGUCCUUCCGAGAUCUCGUCCGGUCCGGCCAUGGCCAUGAGCUCCUCACUUGCCGCAGGUGCAGGGGUUGCAGGUGCAGUUGUCGCCGCACUUGCAGCCAUUCUCGGCUCCGGCGCCGGCCUCGAACCCGCCCUCGGCGUGCCUGCGCGUAAGAGAAACAUCAUCAAUUUUUUUUUUCAGUUCAGAAGUCGAGUUGCAGAGCAAUUUUGGCCUGUUCGCUACCAGGAGCUACGUAUGCCGUCUCGGACUUUUCAAUACAGGACAAGUAAACAUGACAUCAUUUUUUGUUGGAUUUUUUUUUGGGGGGCCUUGGCGCGGGGAAAAGAAGCAGCUGCUUGUUUUGUUUCAUGAGGGACACAAACUGCUUUUGUCGUAGCGUAGUGCUUCCUUCUCGCUGCUGAUGGUGACUGGAAUUUGUUGUACCACUAUGCAGACAGUACUAAAACCAUAUAAGCUACCAGAAGUUAGUACUACUUCCUACACAACCGAUCACCUACCACAAACGCACAAGGCAGAACCGUAAAAAUAGUACGGCUAACAAUUCUGCACCAUAGAAACUGCUGGCUAUUAUUGGCAAACGUAAGAGGAUGGUGGAUCAGAUCACCACCUCGUCAAAACGAUCUAUGCGCCGGAAGCUGAACAGUACAUGGUACAGAUGGGAGGGAGGGACAUACCCCUUGUUGGUCGGUGCAACGCCCAUGAUGACAGUCUGGGUGGUGGUGGUGCCCUGCUCAGCCGUGUCCGGGUACAUCUUGCACCUGCAGAUGAUACAAGCGGCAUGUCAGGAUCAUCAGAAUCUCUCCGAUUUGAGGAGCACAAACUGCUGCAUGCAUAUAAUUUCAGACAGGAAUUUACAUGAAGGAACAUGAGAAAAACCUCUUGUUUUUUUCUUAAAAAAAAGGGGGAGGCAAAAUCUCCCAGCUCUAUCCUCUCUAAUCAAAGAUCCACCCACACAGAAGGUUCUCCCCCAAAAGAAAAACAUUUCCAUGCAAGCUAUCUGCUGCGUCUGCAUGC